CAAAAUGUAGCUUAGCCAAAGCACCUCGCUUACACCGAGGAGACAUCUGUGAAACCCGGACCAUUUUGA
This 69-nucleotide transfer RNA is filed under the name Hoplobatrachus tigerinus (Indus valley bullfrog). RNAcentral describes it as "tRNA-Val". It matches the Rfam family "tRNA". From Rfam's summary of the family: Transfer RNA (tRNA) molecules are approximately 80 nucleotides in length. Their secondary structure includes four short double-helical elements and three loops (D, anti-codon, and T loops). Lineage: Eukaryota; Metazoa; Chordata; Amphibia; Anura; Dicroglossidae. The record is from RNAcentral.